UCUGAUUAGCUAGUUGGUGGGGUAAAGGCUUACCAAGGCGACGAUCAGUAGCUGGUCUGAGAGGACGAUCAGCCACACUGGGACUGAGACACGGCCCAGACUCCUACGGGAGGCAGCAGUGGGGAAUUUUCCGCAAUGGGCGAAAGCCUGACGGAGCAAUACCGCGUGAGGGAGGAAGGCUCUUGGGUUGUAAACCUCUUUUCUCAGGGAAGAAGCUCUGACGGUACCUGAGGAAUCAGCAUCGGCUAACUCCGUGCCAGCAGCCGCGGUAAUACGGAGGAUGCAAGCGUUAUCCGGAAUGAUUGGGCGUAAAGCGUCUGCAGGUGGCUUUACAAGUCUGCUGUCAAAGACUGAGGCUUAACUUCGGAGAGGCAGUGGAAACUGAAAAGCUAGAGUGCGGUAGGGGUAGAGGGAAUUCCCGGUGUAGCGGUGAAAUGCGUAGAGAUCGGGAAGAACACCAGUGGCGAAAGCGCUCUGCUGGACCGCAACUGACACUCAUGGACGAAAGCUAGGGGAGCGAAUGGGAUUAGAUACCCCAGUAGUCCUAGCCGU
Molecule: ribosomal RNA, 552 nt
Filed under: uncultured cyanobacterium
Lineage: Bacteria; Bacillati; Cyanobacteriota
Description: bacterial SSU rRNA
Rfam family: Bacterial small subunit ribosomal RNA
Source: RNAcentral